GGAUGUGAGGGUAUUCUGACUGUGACCCCAUCGAUCACAGGGUUGAUUCGGCUGAUCUGGCUGGCUAGGUUGGUGUUCCCUUUCUCACUAUUCCAUGUGCGUCCCUCUUGAAGCUGUACACUCAAAGAGGAUGACCAUUCCCGCUAAGGGAAGGUUGUCCUUUGGUCAGGGGUGUACCAGCAGCUGUGCUCCCCUGCUAGAACCCCUAAACACACUCUCAAAUAAUGAACAGGGCUUGUGGGAGACCACAGCCUGCUGCUGCAAUUAUGUGCAUCUUACUAAGAGAAAGCCAGGAGUGAU
This 300-nucleotide small nuclear RNA is filed under the name Carlito syrichta (Philippine tarsier). RNAcentral describes it as "7SK RNA (ENSTSYG00000022845.2)". It matches the Rfam family "7SK RNA". From Rfam's summary of the family: 7SK was discovered as an abundant small nuclear RNA in the mid-70s but a possible function has only recently been suggested. Two independent studies have found that 7SK RNA binds the CDK9/cyclin T complex (known as elongation factor P-TEFb). P-TEFb activates transcription by phosphorylating the C-terminal domain of RNA polymerase II. Lineage: Eukaryota; Metazoa; Chordata; Mammalia; Primates; Tarsiidae. The record is from Rfam by way of RNAcentral.